GACAAAAACCACCUGAAGAGAGCGGAUUCACUUUAAUGCGGAUAAGAGGAAUUUGUGGAAGUGCUAAGUUGUUUAUCUCAUACAGAAGGGUGGCCAUUGAUUUCACAGCAUCCAAUGGGGACCCUCGAAACAGCUGCUCCCUGCACUACAUCAACCCCUACCAGGCCAAUGAGUACCUGGAGGCCUUGGUAGCAAUUAGGGAGAUAUGUCAAGAUUACGACAGGUUGGCUGAUCAAGACGACCGUUGACAAACAAAGGUGGAUGCGCUGAUGGACGAAGCGGCUUAUGAGAAAUUCAUCAAAUCGAUCGAUAACUAAGAGCCCUGCUGGAAGUCCAUGCUUCCUUUUUACAUAAAAACUUGAUCAAGGCUGUCUGAGAUCAGAAGAAGAACAGAAGAACUGUGGCAGAAGAACUGCGCCACAGCCGAUCGGCGUAGACAGCGCCCCGCUGAUUACACCUAUAAUUCAAUUAUUGGGAGCCGGCUGGCGUCAAUAAACGCCCGUUUCCCGUUUCAAUGAACAUAUGAGUGUAGCAUUGCACCCAAAGGUCUCAAUUAAACAGCUUUUAUUUCAAAUAUGCCAUCUUUGCUGGUAUCGUUCUACUGUGUCUGCAUGUGUGCAAUCUCCAAAAUCCAUCUCUUUACAAAUAUACUGUAUAAUGCAUAAUUUAGUCGUUCUAUCCGCUAUUCGUAAAAAAAGGAUUCUGAGCAUUUACUAAAAACAUUUACCGGUGAAGCGGUGA
Molecule: long non-coding RNA, 741 nt
Organism: Conger conger (European conger)
Lineage: Eukaryota; Metazoa; Chordata; Actinopteri; Anguilliformes; Congridae
Exons: 3
Source: RefSeq, a predicted model, not a curated record